GUGUCAGCAGCCGCGGUAAUACGGAAGGUCCGGGCGUUAUCCGGAUUUAUUGGGUUUAAAGGGAGCGUAGGCCGCUUUGUAAGCGUGUUGUGAAAUUUGCCGGCUCAACCGGUAACUUGCAGCGCGAACUGCAGAGCUUGAGUGUGCGCAACGUUGGCGGAAUUCGUCGUGUAGCGGUGAAAUGCUUAGAUAUGACGAAGAACUCCGAUUGCGAAGGCAGCUGACGGGAGCACUACUGACGCUGAAGCUCGAAAGUGCGGGUAUCGAACAGGAUUAGAUACCCUGGUAGUCCGCACGGUAAACGAUGGAUGCCCGCUGUUUGCACAUAGUUGCAAGCGGCCAAGCGAAAGCGUUAAGCAUCCCACCUGGGGAGUACGCCGGCAACGGUGAAACUUAAAUGAAUUGACGGGG
Molecule: ribosomal RNA, 411 nt
Filed under: uncultured prokaryote
Description: bacterial SSU rRNA
Rfam family: Bacterial small subunit ribosomal RNA
Source: RNAcentral